This 68-nucleotide transfer RNA is filed under the name Ictidomys tridecemlineatus (thirteen-lined ground squirrel). RNAcentral describes it as "Spermophilus tridecemlineatus (thirteen-lined ground squirrel) tRNA". It matches the Rfam family "tRNA". Rfam says of the family: Transfer RNA (tRNA) molecules are approximately 80 nucleotides in length. Lineage: Eukaryota; Metazoa; Chordata; Mammalia; Rodentia; Sciuridae. RNAcentral also lists the same sequence under 1 other name. The record is from Rfam by way of RNAcentral.
GUGGUGGCUCAGUGGUAGAGCGCUUGCCUUGCAUGUGAAAGGAACUGGGUUCAAUUCUCAGCACCACA